RNAcentral lists this ribosomal RNA (649 nucleotides) under uncultured bacterium. Its description in RNAcentral is "partial 16S ribosomal RNA". The record is from RNAcentral.
UACGGCUACCUUGUUACGACUUAGUCCCAGUCACCGAGCUCACCGUCGGCCGACGCCUCCCUUGCAGGUUGGCGGAUCGGACUUCGGGCGCUCCCAGCUUCCAUGACUUGACGGGCGGUGUGUACAAGGCUCAGGAACACAUUCACCGCGUCAUGGCUGAUACGCGAUUACUAGCGAUUCCAACUUCAUGGAGUCGAAUUGCAGACUCCAAUCCGAACUGAGGCCGGCUUUGUGCGAUUUGCUCCACCUCGCGGUAUCGCGUCGCUCUGUACCGACCAUUGUAGCACGUGUGACACCCUGGGCAUAAAGGCCAUGAGGACUUGACGUCAUCCCCACCUUCCUCCGGCUUAACGCCGGCAGUCUCGUUAGAGUCCCCGCCAUGACGCGCUGGCAACUAACGACAGGGGUUUCGCUCGUUAAGGGACUUAACCCGACACUUCACAGCACGAGCUGACGACAGCCAUGCAGCACCUGUGCACGUUUCACCCGAAGGCAGCUUACUCGACUUUCAUCAAGGGCAUCCGUGCAUGUCAAACCCAGGUAAGGUUCUUCGCGUUGCUUCGAAUUAAUCCACAUGCUCCACCGCUUGUGUGAGCCCCCGUCAAUUCCUUUGAGUUUUAGCCUUGCGGCCGUACUCCCCAGGCGGCGC